This 465-nucleotide ribosomal RNA is filed under the name Vreelandella stevensii. RNAcentral's name for it is "partial 16S ribosomal RNA". It matches the Rfam family "Bacterial small subunit ribosomal RNA", at positions 338 to 795 of the family's 1533-position model. The record is from RNAcentral. Lineage: Bacteria; Pseudomonadati; Pseudomonadota; Gammaproteobacteria; Oceanospirillales; Halomonadaceae.
CCUACGGGGCGCUGCAGUGGGGAAUAUUGGACAAUGGGCGAAAGCCUGAUCCAGCCAUGCCGCGUGUGUGAAGAAGGCCUUCGGGUUGUAAAGCACUUUCAGUGGGGAAGAAAGCCUUGGGGCUAAUACCCUCGAGGAAGGACAUCACCCACAGAAGAAGCACCGGCUAACUCCGUGCCAGCAGCCGCGGUAAUACGGAGGGUGCGAGCGUUAAUCGGAAUUACGGGGCGUAAAGCGCGCGUAGGCGGUCUGAUAAGCCGGUUGUGAAAGCCCCGGGCUCAACCUGGGAACGGCAUCCGGAACUGUCAGGCUAGAGUGCAGGAGAGGAAGGUAGAAUUCCCGGUGUAGCGGUGAAAUGCGUAGAGAUCGGGAGGAAUACCAGUGGCGAAGGCGGCCUUCUGGACUGACACUGACGCUGAGGUGCGAAAGCGUGGGUAGCAAACAGGAUUAGAUACCCUAGUAGUC